ACUUAGUGGCAGACGGGUGAGUAACAUGUGGGUAUCUACCCCUUGGCCUGGAAUAACACGAGGAAACUUGUGCUAAUACCGGAUAAGUCUUUACGGAGAAAGCUUUAUGCACCAUUGGAUGAGCCCGCACUUGAUUAGUUUGUUGGUAGGGUAAUGGCCUACCAAGACUAUGAUCAAUAGCUGAUUUGAGAGGAUGAUCAGCCACAUUGGGACUGAGACACGGCCCAAACUCCUACGGGAGGCAGCAGUGGGGAAUCUUGCACAAUGGAGGAAACUCUGAUGCAGCGAUGCCGCGUGAGUGAAGAAGGCCUUUGGGUUGUAAAGCUCUUUCGUCGGGGAAGAAAAUGACUGUACCCGAAUAAGAAGGUCCGGCUAACUUCGUGCCAGCAGCCGCGGUAAUACGAAGGGACCUAGCGUAGUUCGGAAUUACUGGGCUUAAAGAGUUCGUAGGUGGUUGAAAAAGUUGGUGGUGAAA
RNAcentral lists this ribosomal RNA (475 nucleotides) under uncultured Pelagibacterales bacterium. Its description in RNAcentral is "bacterial SSU rRNA". It matches the Rfam family "Bacterial small subunit ribosomal RNA", at positions 90 to 599 of the family's 1533-position model. Lineage: Bacteria; Pseudomonadati; Pseudomonadota; Alphaproteobacteria; Candidatus Pelagibacterales. The record is from RNAcentral.